Molecule: ribosomal RNA, 423 nt
Filed under: uncultured bacterium
Lineage: Bacteria
Description: bacterial SSU rRNA
Rfam family: Bacterial small subunit ribosomal RNA
Source: RNAcentral
UGAGGAAUAUUGGUCAAUGGCCGAGAGGCUGAACCAGCCAAGUCGCGUGAAGGAAGAAGGAUCUAUGGUUUGUAAACUUCUUUUAUAGGGGAAUAAAGUGGAGGACGUGUCCUUUUUUGUAUGUACCCUAUGAAUAAGCAUCGGCUAACUCCGUGCCAGCAGCCGCGGUAAUACGGAGGAUGCGAGCGUUAUCCGGAUUUAUUGGGUUUAAAGGGUGCGUAGGUGGUGAUUUAAGUCAGCGGUGAAAGUUUGUGGCUCAACCAUAAAAUUGCCGUUGAAACUGGGUUACUUGAGUGUGUUUGAGGUAGGCGGAAUGCGUGGUGUAGCGGUGAAAUGCAUAGAUAUCACGCAGAACUCCGAUUGCGAAGGCAGCUUACUAAACCAUAACUGACACUGAAGCACGAAAGCGUGGGGAUCAAACAG